RNAcentral lists this ribosomal RNA (253 nucleotides) under uncultured prokaryote. Its description in RNAcentral is "partial 16S ribosomal RNA". It matches the Rfam family "Bacterial small subunit ribosomal RNA", at positions 525 to 777 of the family's 1533-position model. The record is from RNAcentral.
ACGGAGGGUGCGAGCGUUAUCCGGAAUUACUGGGUUUAAAGGGUGCGUAGGCGGCUUUGUAAGUCAGGAGUGAAAGUUUGCGGCUCAACCGUAAAAUUGCUUCUGAUACUGCAUGGCUAGAAUUAGGAUGAGGUCAGCGGAAUGUGGCAUGUAGCGGUGAAAUGCAUAGAUAUGCCAUAGAACACCAAUUGCGAAGGCAGCUGACUAGACCUGGAUUGACGCUGAGGCACGAAAGCGUGGGGAGCGAACAGGA